RNAcentral lists this ribosomal RNA (564 nucleotides) under Streptomyces sp. 340H02. Its description in RNAcentral is "bacterial SSU rRNA". It matches the Rfam family "Bacterial small subunit ribosomal RNA", at positions 93 to 671 of the family's 1533-position model. Lineage: Bacteria; Bacillati; Actinomycetota; Actinomycetes; Kitasatosporales; Streptomycetaceae. RNAcentral also lists the same sequence under 2 other names. The record is from RNAcentral.
UAGUGGCGAACGGGUGAGUAACACGUGGGCAAUCUGCCCUUCACUNUGGGACAAGCCCUGGAAACGGGGUCUAAUACCGGAUAACACUCUGUCCCGCAUGGGACGGGGUUGAAAGCUCCGGCGGUGAAGGAUGAGCCCGCGGCCUAUCAGCUUGUUGGUGGGGUGAUGGCCUACCAAGGCGACGACGGGUAGCCGGCCUGAGAGGGCGACCGGCCACACUGGGACUGAGACACGGCCCAGACUCCUACGGGAGGCAGCAGUGGGGAAUAUUGCACAAUGGGCGAAAGCCUGAUGCAGCGACGCCGCGUGAGGGAUGACGGCCUUCGGGUUGUAAACCUCUUUCAGCAGGGAAGAAGCGAAAGUGACGGUACCUGCAGAAGAAGCGCCGGCUAACUACGUGCCAGCAGCCGCGGUAAUACGUAGGGCGCAAGCGUUGUCCGGAAUUAUUGGGCGUAAAGAGCUCGUAGGCGGCUUGUUGCGUCGGUUGUGAAAGCCCGGGGCUUAACCCCGGGUCUGCAGUCGAUACGGGCAGGCUAGAGUGUGGUAGGGGAGAUCGGAAUUCCU